Molecule: long non-coding RNA, 714 nt
Organism: Sinocyclocheilus anshuiensis
Lineage: Eukaryota; Metazoa; Chordata; Actinopteri; Cypriniformes; Cyprinidae
Exons: 3
Source: RefSeq, a predicted model, not a curated record
AUUCUUUCUUCCUUUUAGGAGAAUGUUACAAUGUUUUUCUAGACUAUGUGCUGAGUUUCUUAAUACUGGUUAUGUGUACUUGCGUUUAGAUUUCUAUCUCCAGAUGAUGUUGUUAAUUUUGUUGUUUGAAAAGACCACACACCCCAUUUACUUGGCACUGGCCAAGCUGUUUUCAGGUUUGAGCUGGAAUACAAACUCUAUCAAUCAGUGUCGGCAACAGCUGCAUUUGACAAGUCCCUGUCCGCCAGGCUUAAGCCCUCCAACUGUCUGUGGAGACUCCUCCCCGUCUGCUACCUCACUCCUCGCCCAGCCACGCUCUGCGGCCUCACCCGCUGCUUCCUGCUGGUUGAUGUCUAUACAGACGUGGACAGACUGAGUUCUUCAGGCAUGUCAGGCUGUUUCACAUACACAAGAUUAAGUAGCAAAAGUGACAUCCAAGACCAAUCGGGCCACCCAGGAGAACUGCAACCAGCGGAAAGGCUGUCAGAGCCCCCCUUUACACCAUUAAUCUUCAAGCUUCUCCUGUGCUGCCAACUCACAUCUCCUUCAAAUGGGACAGGAGAGUGAGAGAGGGAGGGAAAUGGAGAAAAACAGGACCACCUCACUCACACCAUCUCUGUGGUGGUAGAUGAAUGGGCCUCAUUAAAGCAAAAUGGAGAUUCCAGCACUGAAGUGUGGGGAUGGCCCUUGGACCUUUCAAUUCUUUCACUUAUC